UCAAGUAAGUAAGGGCGUACGGCGGAUGCCUUGGCCAUAUCAGCCGAAGAAGGACGCGAUAAGCUGCGAUAAGCUGCGGUGAGGUGCAAGUAACCUUUGACCCGCAGAUCUCCGAAUGGGGAAACCCGGCAGCAGUAGUGCUGUCAUCCUCUAUGAGGAAGGGCACCCGGUGAACUGAAACAUCUAAGUAGCCGGAGGAAAAGGAAUCAACAGAGAUACCCCUAGUAGCGGCGAGCGAACGGGGCAGAGCCCAAACCGGAAUGGGAAACCAAUCCGGGGUUGUGGACUGCUAUCAAAUGCAUGAGUGAAGCAGAAUGAGCUGGGAAGCUCAGCCAGAGAGAGUGAGAGCCUCGUAGGCGUAAGCAAGUGCAUGGAGCAGGAUCCGGAGUACCACGGGACACGAGAAACCCUGUGGGAAGCUGGGGGGACCACCCUCCAAGGCGAAACACUGAUAUGGACCGAUAGCGCAUAGUACCGUGAGGGAAAGGUGAAAAGAACCCCGGGAGGGGAAUGAAAGAGAACCUGAAACCGUAUGUCUACAAGCAGUCGAAGACCUUUAUAUGGUCGACGGCGUGCCUAUUGAAGAAUGAACCGGCGAGUUACUUCAGCUAGCGAGGUUAAGCAGAAAAUGCGGAGCCGCAGCGAAAGCGAGUCUGAACAGGGCGUAUAGUUAGUUGGAGUAGACCCGAAACCACAGUGAUCUACCCAUGUCCAGGUUGAAGCACAGGUAAAAAUGUGUGGAGGACCGAACCAGUGAGCGUUGAAAAGCUUUUGGAUGAGAUGUGGGUAGGGGUGAAAUGCCAAUCGAACGUGGAGAUAGCUGGUUCUCCCCGAAAUAGCUUUAGGGCUAGCCUCAUGGCGAGAGUACAGGCGGUAGAGCACUGAACGGGGUAGGGGCCUAUCCGGCUACUGAACCUAAUCAAACUGCGAAUGGCUGUACUUAUCCAUGGGAGUCAGACUGUGAGUAAUAAGGCCCAUAGUCAAGAGGGAAACAGCCCAGACCAACAGCUAAGGUCCCCAAUGCCGUACUAAGUGGCGAAGGAUGUGGAAUUUCGAAAACAACCAGGAUGUUGGCUCAGAAGCAGCCACCAUUAAAAGAGUGCGUAAUAGCUCACUGGUCGAGAGACUCUGCGCCGAAGAUGUCCGGGGCUAAAGUACGGAACCGAAGCUUUGGCAAUUAACAUAAGUUAAUUGGGUAGGGGAGCGUUCCUGCAUGGGAGAAGCCUGACCGGAAGGACAGGUGGACAGGCAGGAAGAGAGAAUGCCGGUAUGAGUAGCGAAAAGAAGGGUGAGAAUCCCUUCCACCGAAAGCCUAAGGGUUCCUGGGCAACGAUCGUCGUCCCAGGGUAAGUCGGGACCUAAUCCGAGGCGGAGACGCGUAGGAGAUGGACAACAGGUUGAAAUUCCUGUACUGGCUGAGGCCGUUUGAGCGAAGGAGUGACACAGGAAGGAAGGCGCGCGUGCGAUUGGAAGAGCACGUCCAAGCAGGUAGGUCGGGAGACAGGCAAAUCCGUUUCCCAUGAGGCCGAGAUGCGAUGGGGAGCUUCUGGAGACAGAAGCGAAGGGGCUGGCACUAAACUGUCGAGAAAAGCUUCUAGUGAGGACUCAGGCACCCGUACCGAAACCGACACAGGUAGGCAGGAUGAGAAUUCUAAGGUGCGCGGGAAAACCCUCGUUAAGGAACUCGGCAAAAUAUAUCCGUAACUUCGGGAAAAGGAUAACCCAGCGUACGUGAAGUGCAGAAGCGCAUGGAGCGGAGAUGGGUGGCAGAAGAGAGGCCCAAGCGACUGUUUACCACAAACACAGGCGUCUGCUAAAGCGAAAGCUGAUGUAUAGAUGCUGACACCUGCCCGGUGCUGGAAGGUUAAGAGGAAGUGUUAGCGCAAGCGAAGCAGUGAAUUGAAGCCCCAGUAAACGGCGGCCGUAACUAUAACGGUCCUAAGGUAGCGAAAUUCCUUGUCGGGUAAGUUCC
RNAcentral lists this ribosomal RNA (1972 nucleotides) under human gut metagenome. RNAcentral describes it as "bacterial LSU rRNA". It matches the Rfam family "Bacterial large subunit ribosomal RNA", at positions 3 to 1984 of the family's 2925-position model. The record is from RNAcentral.